GGUUAAGCGACUAAGCGUACACGGUGGAUGCCCUGGCAGUCAGAGGCGAUGAAGGACGUGCUAAUCUGCGAUAAGCGUCGGUAAGGUGAUAUGAACCGUUAUAACCGGCGAUUUCCGAAUGGGGAAACCCAGUGUGAUUCGUCACACUAUCAUUAACUGAAUCCAUAGGUUAAUGAGGCGAACCGGGGGAACUGAAACAUCUAAGUACCCCGAGGAAAAGAAAUCAACCGAGAUUCCCCCAGUAGCGGCGAGCGAACGGGGAGCAGCCCAGAGCCUGAAUCAGUGUGUGUGUUAGUGGAAGCGUCUGGAAAGGCGCGCGAUACAGGGUGACAGCCCCGUACACAAAAAUGCACAUACUGUGAGCUCGAUGAGUAGGGCGGGACACGUGGUAUCCUGUCUGAAUAUGGGGGGACCAUCCUCCAAGGCUAAAUACUCCUGACUGACCGAUAGUGAACCAGUACCGUGAGGGAAAGGCGAAAAGAACCCCGGCGAGGGGAGUGAAAAAGAACCUGAAACCGUGUACGUACAAGCAGUGGGAGCACGCUUAGGCGUGUGACUGCGUACCUUUUGUAUAAUGGGUCAGCGACUUAUAUUCUGUAGCAAGGUUAACCGAAUAGGGGAGCCGAAGGGAAACCGAGUCUUAACUGGGCGUUAAGUUGCAGGGUAUAGACCCGAAACCCGGUGAUCUAGCCAUGGGCAGGUUGAAGGUUGGGUAACACUAACUGGAGGACCGAACCGACUAAUGUUGAAAAAUUAGCGGAUGACUUGUGGCUGGGGGUGAAAGGCCAAUCAAACCGGGAGAUAGCUGGUUCUCCCCGAAAGCUAUUUAGGUAGCGCCUCGUGAAUUCAUCUCCGGGGGUAGAGCACUGUUUCGGCAAGGGGGUCAUCCCGACUUACCAACCCGAUGCAAACUGCGAAUACCGGAGAAUGUUAUCACGGGAGACACACGGCGGGUGCUAACGUCCGUCGUGAAGAGGGAAACAACCCAGACCGCCAGCUAAGGUCCCAAAGUCAUGGUUAAGUGGGAAACGAUGUGGGAAGGCCCAGACAGCCAGGAUGUUGGCUUAGAAGCAGCCAUCAUUUAAAGAAAGCGUAAUAGCUCACUGGUCGAGUCGGCCUGCGCGGAAGAUGUAACGGGGCUAAACCAUGCACCGAAGCUGCGGCAGCGACGCUUAUGCGUUGUUGGGUAGGGGAGCGUUCUGUAAGCCUGUGAAGGUGUACUGUGAGGUAUGCUGGAGGUAUCAGAAGUGCGAAUGCUGACAUAAGUAACGAUAAAGCGGGUGAAAAGCCCGCUCGCCGGAAGACCAAGGGUUCCUGUCCAACGUUAAUCGGGGCAGGGUGAGUCGACCCCUAAGGCGAGGCCGAAAGGCGUAGUCGAUGGGAAACAGGUUAAUAUUCCUGUACUUGGUGUUACUGCGAAGGGGGGACGGAGAAGGCUAUGUUGGCCGGGCGACGGUUGUCCCGGUUUAAGCGUGUAGGCUGGUUUUCCAGGCAAAUCCGGAAAAUCAAGGCUGAGGCGUGAUGACGAGGCACUACGGUGCUGAAGCAACAAAUGCCCUGCUUCCAGGAAAAGCCUCUAAGCAUCAGGUAACAUCAAAUCGUACCCCAAACCGACACAGGUGGUCAGGUAGAGAAUACCAAGGCGCUUGAGAGAACUCGGGUGAAGGAACUAGGCAAAAUGGUGCCGUAACUUCGGGAGAAGGCACGCUGAUAUGUAGGUGAAGCGACUUGCUCGUGGAGCUGAAAUCAGUCGAAGAUACCAGCUGGCUGCAACUGUUUAUUAAAAACACAGCACUGUGCAAACACGAAAGUGGACGUAUACGGUGUGACGCCUGCCCGGUGCCGGAAGGUUAAUUGAUGGGGUCAGCGCAAGCGAAGCUCUUGAUCGAAGCCCCGGUAAACGGCGGCCGUAACUAUAACGGUCCUAAGGUAGCGAAAUUCCUUGUCGGGUAAGUUCCGACCUGCACGAAUGGCGUAAUGAUGGCCAGGCUGUCUCCACCCGAGACUCAGUGAAAUUGAACUCGCUGUGAAGAUGCAGUGUACCCGCGGCAAGACGGAAAGACCCCGUGAACCUUUACUAUAGCUUGACACUGAACAUUGAGCCUUGAUGUGUAGGAUAGGUGGGAGGCUUUGAAGUGUGGACGCCAGUCUGCAUGGAGCCGACCUUGAAAUACCACCCUUUAAUGUUUGAUGUUCUAACGUUGACCCGUGAUCCGGGUUGCGGACAGUGUCUGGUGGGUAGUUUGACUGGGGCGGUCUCCUCCUAAAGAGUAACGGAGGAGCACGAAGGUUGGCUAAUCCUGGUCGGACAUCAGGAGGUUAGUGCAAUGGCAUAAGCCAGCUUGACUGCGAGCGUGACGGCGCGAGCAGGUGCGAAAGCAGGUCAUAGUGAUCCGGUGGUUCUGAAUGGAAGGGCCAUCGCUCAACGGAUAAAAGGUACUCCGGGGAUAACAGGCUGAUACCGCCCAAGAGUUCAUAUCGACGGCGGUGUUUGGCACCUCGAUGUCGGCUCAUCACAUCCUGGGGCUGAAGUAGGUCCCAAGGGUAUGGCUGUUCGCCAUUUAAAGUGGUACGCGAGCUGGGUUUAGAACGUCGUGAGACAGUUCGGUCCCUAUCUGCCGUGGGCGCUGGAGAACUGAGGGGGGCUGCUCCUAGUACGAGAGGACCGGAGUGGACGCAUCACUGGUGUUCGGGUUGUCAUGCCAAUGGCACUGCCCGGUAGCUAAAUGCGGAAGAGAUAAGUGCUGAAAGCAUCUAAGCACGAAACUUGCCCCGAGAUGAGUUCUCCCUGACUCCUUGAGAGUCCUGAAGGAACGUUGAAGACGACGACGUUGAUAGGCCGGAUGUGUAAGCGCAGCGAUGCGUUGAGCUAACCGGUACUAAUGAACCGUGAGGCUUAACCUU
Molecule: ribosomal RNA, 2904 nt
Filed under: Escherichia coli
Lineage: Bacteria; Pseudomonadati; Pseudomonadota; Gammaproteobacteria; Enterobacterales; Enterobacteriaceae
Description: 23S ribosomal RNA
Rfam family: Bacterial large subunit ribosomal RNA
Source: RNAcentral